This is a long non-coding RNA of Helianthus annuus (common sunflower), 373 nucleotides long. RefSeq lists it as uncharacterized. The record is from RefSeq and is a predicted model, not a curated record. The transcript is spliced from 2 exons. Lineage: Eukaryota; Viridiplantae; Streptophyta; Magnoliopsida; Asterales; Asteraceae.
AAGCUUCAUAACUAUAUAUAUAAUAUAUAUAAUAUAUAUAUCACCUUGGAGCAAUUAGAGCUGAAAGAUCGAGAGAUGGGAAAGAAGAUGGGUGUGGUUGUUCUGAUCCUGAUUUCGUUCGUCUUAAUCAUCUCGUUGUCAAAUGCUCUAUCUAAUUAUAAGACCGGAAAUCGUGCAAAUGGGACGAGAUCACAUCUUCCACCAAAGAUGCUUAAGCACGGUUAAAGCAGCUACAUGUUUGAUGUUUCAAAUGGAUGUUGUUGUGUUGUUUACCUAGGACAGGACUGUUUGUAUCAUUAUCAGAUACUUACAUCAUCAUCUAUCUAUAUGUAUGCAUGCAUGCUUCUUAAUUCAAUAAUGAUCUAAUGCUAUA